RNAcentral lists this long non-coding RNA (499 nucleotides) under Mytilus galloprovincialis (Mediterranean mussel). Lineage: Eukaryota; Metazoa; Mollusca; Bivalvia; Mytilida; Mytilidae. The record is from RNAcentral.
GACAAAUAUAUAUAAACAAUCAAAAGAAUGACUUAAAUAUCAAACUGUAAUUUAUAACAUAAAAAUUUGUCUAUAAACCCAUCAAGCGCAAGACUCGAAAAAUAUCAUUUUCAUAAACACCAUCUAUUUUAAUUGAAAUACCCGACCAUGUAAUAACUAAAGGUGUGACAUAUCACAUAUCACAAAAUUGAUUUAUGUAAAAACACGACACAUACCACAUUUCCUGUAAAAGAAAAAACAGCAAAAACUUCCUUUCAGAACUGUCUCGAAUAUCUGGAAUAAAAGUGGGGAAUGGUAAAAAAAAAGAUUUAUGUAUUGAUAGUUAAGUUCUAUCUUUACAUAUUAAAUAAAGGCAACAGUAGUAUACCGCUGUUCAAAACUCAUAAAUCCAUGGACAAAAAACAAAAUCGGGGUAACAAACUAAAACCGAGGGAAACACAUUAAAUAUAAGAGGAGAACAACGACACAACACCGAAACGCAACACACACAGAAACGGAC